UAGGGAAUUUUCGUCAAUGGGGGCAACCCUGAACGAGCAAUGCCGCGUGAGCGAAGAAGGUCUUCGGAUUGUAAAGCUCUGUUGCCGGGGAAAAAGGAAGGAAAGAGGAAAUGCUUUUCUUUGGAUGGUACCCGGCCAGAAAGUCACGGCUAACUACGUGCCAGCAGCCGCGUAAUAUGAGUCU
This 184-nucleotide ribosomal RNA is filed under the name uncultured bacterium. RNAcentral describes it as "partial 16S ribosomal RNA". It matches the Rfam family "Bacterial small subunit ribosomal RNA", at positions 355 to 532 of the family's 1533-position model. The record is from RNAcentral.